Molecule: ribosomal RNA, 315 nt
Filed under: uncultured eukaryote
Lineage: Eukaryota
Description: partial 18S ribosomal RNA
Rfam family: Eukaryotic small subunit ribosomal RNA
Source: RNAcentral
CCCUUAGACGUUCUGGGCCGCACGCGCGCUACACUGACCAGUGCAACAAGCAUCCGUCCUUGGCCGACAGGCCCGGGCAAUCUUUGAACGCUGGUCGUGAUGGGGAUAGACUUUUGCAAUUUUUGGUCUUCAACGAGGAAUUCCUAGUAAACGCAAGUCAUCAACUUGCAUUGAUUACGUCCCUGCCCUUUGUACACACCGCCCGUCGCACCUACCGAUUGAAUGGUCCGGUGAAGCCUCAGGAUUGGCGCGCACCUCGGUGCCGCCGAGAAGUUGGCUAAACCUUACCAUUUAGAGGAAGGUGAAGUCGUAACA